Molecule: ribosomal RNA, 250 nt
Filed under: uncultured prokaryote
Description: partial 16S ribosomal RNA
Rfam family: Bacterial small subunit ribosomal RNA
Source: RNAcentral
UACGUAGGUGGCGAGCGUUAUCCGGAUUUAUCGGGCGUAAAGCGUCCGCAGCCGGCUUAUUAAGUCCCGAAUUAAAGCCCGAGGCUCAACCUCGGUUCGUUCUGGAAACUGGUAGGCUCGAGUGUGGUAGAGGCAAGUGGAACUUCCAGUGUAGCGGUAGAAUGCGUAGAUAUUGGAAAGAACACCAGUGGCGAAGGCGACUUGCUGGGCCAUCACUGACGGUCAGGGACGAAAGCGUGGGGAGCAAAUA